Long non-coding RNA from Lynx canadensis (Canada lynx), 1970 nucleotides. RefSeq lists it as uncharacterized. The record is from RefSeq and is a predicted model, not a curated record. Lineage: Eukaryota; Metazoa; Chordata; Mammalia; Carnivora; Felidae. The transcript is spliced from 2 exons.
GAUUGAACAGAGCAUGGCAAUGAGACCAGCAGCACUUUCACAACAGUGCCUGAAGCUCGUAUCAACCAGAAUCCUAACAGCAAGCCCAACGCAACCACCUCCAGGGUCUACAUGCUGCCCCAGAGCAGGAGAGAAUAGAGUUGCAGCUAACUGCUCAGAAACUGUACAUCACUAUAGCCCAACAACCAAGUGAGAGAGACUGCUACUAAUGGGUCAAUAACAACUGUGGAGAUUCUGAAUCAUUGGAGCGCUCGACAAAAGAAAGCUAAUGGAUGAUGUGAAAAUCCACAUAUGCCCAUGAGAGUAUAUUGAGCACAUAAAUGUUGUUGCUUGGUGUGUUCCUGAGAAGAGACAUUUGAGAACCACUGUUUUGGAGUCAGAAGCAGCACAGAAGAAUUCAUUUCAGCUCCAAAUGGGUUAUUUAACCACUGGCUGUCAGACAUGUAGACAGCGUCAUGUUUUAGUUUGACCUAGAUUUGUAAUGGGAUGCGCCUAAUUCCUUCAAUGAAAUGAAACUUUAAUGAAUCUUUAGGUAGAACUCUUAAGUGCCAAAAAACCAUUUUCCCAGAGCUAGUGUGAACUUCUUGACAAACUAAAGAAUUUACUCUUUUUGAGCCAAGAGGAAACCUCUGUUUGUUAUACACUCCCAUGCCAUUUGAUUAUUGAGGGAGAAGGAAUGGGAGUGGUAUCCAAAACAGAUGGGAAGGUGAGCACCACGUGCUUAUUGUCCCUGGGAGUGGACCCUUCCUUGCCCUCAAUGUAUGUGCUAAAUGAAGUCGGAUGUGGUCAGUCAAGUGGUUGUAGCUAAAUUAGACUGUUCAUGGGAAUCAGCUUCUUUGGCCUAUUACAGAGACCUUAAAUACCAUUUUAUAAAUCCUGAAAAUAAGUCUUUCUCUAGAUAAACAUCAGUAAAGAAAGGAUUGGGGGGAUACUACUAAACACCUUACAUUUAUAGACAUCUUAUAGAUUUUAUACUUGGAAAAAAUACUAUUUUGUAACCUGACAUGGCAGCCAAUACAGGAAAACCAAUGAAAGAUUCACAUGCAGGGAGAGUCGUGUUCCUACAGCAGGAAAUAAUUAUGGUCAGCCAUGUGGGAGUAGAGUCAUCCCAAAGUUAGCUGACUACAGUGGAUUAAGUUCACAUCUGGCUGAUAGAGACGAUCCAAAAAUGAUUCUGGGAAUGCAGGAAAGCAUUUGACAGGGCUGUGAUUUUGUCUAUCUUUGUGAGCACCAGCUGACAGUGCUUCAUCCAUGCAUUCAUUAUGACAUCAUUUUAUGGACAAUUCAUGGACCAAGAAGAUCUGAGAAUCCCUGGGGUGAUGGGAAAUGCCACGGACAUCCAUGGUCUUGGAUGCUCAGUGAGUAAACAAUGAUUUUUAAGCAGUUCCCAAGGCCUGAGAAAUAGUUGGUCGUCACCCAGGUCUACACCCUUCAGCAUGAGUUUUCUUGGGGAGGAGCUGGAUAUGUCUGCAAGCCCCAUACUGGCCCCACAUGUCUCUAACUAACUAGAGUAAAUAAAGCUAAUAUGGAGGAGAUUGUCUUGAACUGAACUCUUAUGGAAAAUGUUUGCACGAGGAGUCUGAAUGCUAAGACACUAAUGUCUCAUUUCAUUGGUGCCAGUUAAUGCCCUGUCAUAGCACUGGCAUGCAUAAGGCAUGAGUGCAGUGUUGCUCUGGAAAAACAAAAAGAAAUUCAGAAAAUUCUUACACCUGCAUGCCUAAGCCUUCAUGAUUAUAAUAUUUUAAGCAUUAUAUGGAAAGAUACACUUUCAGCUUAGUAGAUAAUAGGUACAGAUACAUGCACACAUAUAUAUAUUCAUACUCAUAUAUAGAUAUAUAUAGAAUCAUCCAUCUUGGACAUUCAACUGACUUCUCCUAUAUUAGCUCUCAUAACUCUCAAGAUUCUACAUGAUAUCUAAACUAGGCUUAUUUUCUUCCAUCAUACCUCUAUUCUGCAUUUCCACUCCUACC